AACGAACGCUGGCGGCGUGGCUAACCCAUGCAAGUCGAGCGCGAAUCCCGGGGCAACUCGGGUAGUAGCGCGGCGGAAGGGUGCGUAAUAUAUGGGUAACGUACCCCGGGCACGAGGAUAGUCCACCGAGAGGUGGAGCAAUACUCGAUGAGAUCACAGGGAGGUAUCUUCCAGUGAUCAAUGGGCGGGGAUCCUUCGGGACCUGCCGGCCUGGGAGCGGCCCAUAUUCCAUCAGCUAGUUGGUAGGGUAAUGGCCUACCAAGGCUACGACGGAUAGCCGGACUGAGAGGUCGACCGGCCACAUUGGGACUGAGACACUGCUUAGACUCCUAUGGGAGGCUGCAGGGACGAAUAUUCCGCAAUGGGCGAAAGCCUGACGGAGCGACGCCGCGUGUGGGAGGAAGUCCUUCGGGAUGUAAACCACUGUCAGGGGCUACCAAGUGAACCGCCAUAACAUGGCGGGGAGUUGAGGCGCCCCAGAGGAAGCCACGGCUAACUUCGUGCCAGCAGCCGCGGUAAGACGAAGGUGGCUAGCGUUGUUCGGAAUCACUGGGCUUAAAGAGCACGUAGGCGGUCUGUUAAGCACCUUGUGAAAUCCCUCGGCUCAACCGGGGAAUUGCUUGGUGUACUGGCAGACUUGAGGCAAGUAAGGGUGCGUGGAACUCUUGGUGGAGCGGUGAAAUGCGUAGAUAUCAAGAGGAACGCCGGAGGCGAAAGCGACGCACUGGGCUUGUCCUGACGCUGAGGUGCGAAAGCCAGGGGAGCAAACGGGAUUAGAUACCCCGGUAGUCCUGGCCGUAAACGAUGUCCACUAGGUUGGGGUUCUUUUGACGGAUUCCCGGCCGGAGUAAAAACGUUAAGUGGACCGCCUGGGGAGUACGGUCGCAAGGCUA
Molecule: ribosomal RNA, 893 nt
Filed under: uncultured bacterium
Lineage: Bacteria
Description: bacterial SSU rRNA
Rfam family: Bacterial small subunit ribosomal RNA
Source: RNAcentral